GCCCUCGUAGCUCAGCGGAUAGAGCGUCUCCCUGCGGAGGAGAAGGUCGCACGUUCAAAUCGUGUCGAGGGUGCCA
This 76-nucleotide transfer RNA is filed under the name Chloroflexota bacterium. Its description in RNAcentral is "tRNA-Arg". It matches the Rfam family "tRNA". From Rfam's summary of the family: Transfer RNA (tRNA) molecules are approximately 80 nucleotides in length. Their secondary structure includes four short double-helical elements and three loops (D, anti-codon, and T loops). RNAcentral also lists the same sequence under 1 other name. Lineage: Bacteria; Bacillati; Chloroflexota. The record is from RNAcentral.